RNAcentral lists this long non-coding RNA (277 nucleotides) under Mytilus galloprovincialis (Mediterranean mussel). Lineage: Eukaryota; Metazoa; Mollusca; Bivalvia; Mytilida; Mytilidae. The record is from RNAcentral.
UACUUUGUGUUUAUAGUUUUUUUUGAACUUUCUUUGAGGUAACCGGUAUUCAAGUACCUCAGAUCUGUACUUUGUGCUUAUAGUUUUUUAUGAACUUUCUUUGAGGUAACCGGUAACUCAGGGUACUCUUAGAUCUGUACUUUGUGUAUAUAGUUUUUUAUGAACUUUCUUUGAGGUAACCGGUAACUCAGAGUACUCUUAGAUCUGUACUUUGUGUAUAUAGUUUUUUAUGAACUUUCUUUGAGGUAAUUGGUAACUCAGAGUACUCUUAGAUCUG